Molecule: ribosomal RNA, 868 nt
Filed under: uncultured archaeon
Lineage: Archaea
Description: bacterial SSU rRNA
Rfam family: Archaeal small subunit ribosomal RNA
Source: RNAcentral
CUCCGGUUGAUCCUGCCGGACCCGACUGCUAUCAGAGUGGGACUAAGCCAUGCGAGUCAACGCAGCAAUGCGUGGCAUACGGCUCAGUAACACGUAGUCAACAUGCCCAGGGGACGAGGAUAACCUCGGGAAACUGAGGAUAAACCUCGAUAGGCCAUGAUUUCUGGAAUGAUUCUUGGCUCAAACCUAUAUGGCCCCUGGAUUGGACUGCGGCCGAUCAGGCUGUUGGUGAGGUAAUGGCCCACCAAACCUAUUACCGGUACGGGCUCUGAGAGGAGGAGCCCGGAGAUGGGCACUGAGACAAGGGCCCAGGCCCUAUGGGGCGCAGCAGGCGCGAAACCUCUGCAAUAGGCGAAAGCUUGACAGGGUUACUCUGAGUGAUUUCCGCUAAGGGAAUCUUUUGGCACCUCUAAAAAUGGUGCAGAAUAAGGGGUGGGCAAGUCUGGUGUCAGCCGCCGCGGUAAUACCAGCACCCCGAGUGGUCGGGACGAUUAUUGGGCCUAAAGCAUCCGUAGCCGGUCCUGCAAGUCUUCCGUUAAAUCCAGCUGCUCAACAGAUGGGCUGCAGGAGAUACUACAGGGCUAGGAGGCGGGAGAGGCAAGCGGUACUUUAUGGGUAGGGGUAAAAUCCGCUGAUCCAUAGAAGACCACCAGUGGCGAAGGCGGCUUGCCAGAACGCGCUCGACGGUGAGGGAUGAAAGCUGGGGGAGCAAACCGGAUUAGAUACCCGGGUAGUCCCAGCUGUAAACGAUGCAGACUCGGUGAUGGGUUGGCCUCGCGCCUGCCCAGUGCCGCAGGGAAGCCGUUAAGUCUGCCGCCUGGGGAGUACGGUCGCAAGACUGAAACUUAAAGGAAUUGGCGGGGGAGCA